AUGCAGUAUUUCCUGAAGGCCCAAUUCCACUAUACCAAGAACCAGUAUGCUAAUUUGUUGCUUAUUAUUGGCAUUACAGGAAGUUUCUCACAGCUGACCAUGAUGCCUUUCUUAGCGCCGAAGCUGGGUGAGCAGAAGCUACUUGUCGUGGCACUUACAGGGAGCUGCGUGCAUGGAUUCCUAUACAGCAUUGCAUGGUCAUUCUGGGUCCCUUAUCUUGCUGCAAGCUGUGUGAUUCUAAGCAUUUUGGUCGGCCCUUGUAUAAGGAGCAUUGUAUCAAAAAAAGUAGGGCCUUCUGAGCAGGGAAUGGUUCAAGGCUGUAUUACAGGAAUCAGCUCAACUGCAAGUGUCAUAUCUCCUCUAGUUUUUACUCCGCUCACAGCAUGGUUCCUAUCAGAGACCACACCUUUCAACUUCAAAGGUUUCAGCCUGGCUUGUGCUGGAUUUGCUACGUUGGUGGCACUCAUAAUGAGCAUUAAUAUGAGGCCAGCAGAGGUUCAGCCAGAUACCAGAUAG
This 516-nucleotide ribosomal RNA is filed under the name Triticum aestivum (bread wheat). RNAcentral describes it as "partial small subunit ribosomal RNA". The record is from RNAcentral. Lineage: Eukaryota; Viridiplantae; Streptophyta; Magnoliopsida; Poales; Poaceae.